Molecule: long non-coding RNA, 486 nt
Organism: Xenia sp. Carnegie-2017
Lineage: Eukaryota; Metazoa; Cnidaria; Anthozoa; Malacalcyonacea; Xeniidae
Exons: 2
Source: RefSeq, a predicted model, not a curated record
AAGACGCUAAAACCUGGUAGUUUACCGUCCAUAUUUCCAUUCAUAAAACGGAAACCGGAACGUUAGUUGUCAAGCAAUAGAGCCCAAACAAGAGAAAAAAUUGCACGACGACAGGAAGUGUGGAGCUUGUUAGAACAGUGUAAUAACGAGCCUAGAGAGUCCACCAAUAUUGAGCAUAUGCAGGAUACGACUGAUGUUGAUGUCACAAUUUUCCGAAGUGUUGAAACACAAUGUGACCAAAAAAUUUUCGUCGAUGCGGAAUUCCAAUGUGAUAUGAUAUCAAAACGAAGCAUUGCUGUUCAAACCCUUGCCCCACGGAAAAGAAAAAGAAAGGGCACAAAACGUUCCAAAAUUCAUAAAGGCCCUCCCUCUUUGAAAUCAAAAAAUGUAAACAUUUUGGGAGACUCAAAAAUCGGCAAUGCCAAAUUAAGAAUAAAAAGAUUGUAUUGUGGUUUGACAAAAAUAUGAAUUUAUGAAAGUGUUCUA